AGUGAACGCUGGCGGUAGGCCUAACACAUGCAAGUCGAACGGCAGCACAGUAAGAGCUUGCUCUUACGGGUGGCGAGUGGCGGACGGGUGAGGAAUACAUCGGAAUCUACUUUUUCGUGGGGGAUAACGUAGGGAAACUUACGCUAAUACCGCAUACGACCUACGGGUGAAAGCGGGGGAUCUUCGGACCUUGCGCGAUUGAAUGAGCCGAUGUCGGAUUAGCUAGUUGGCGGGGUAAAGGCCCACCAAGGCGACGAUCCGUAGCUGGUCUGAGAGGAUGAUCAGCCACACUGGAGCUGAGACGCGGUCCAGACUCCUACGGGAGGCAGCAGUGGGGAAUAUUGGACAAUGGGCGCAAGCCUGAUCCAGCCAUACCGCGUGUGUGAAGAAGGCCUUCGGUUUGUAAAGCCCUUUUGUUGGGAAAGAAAAGCAGCAGGUUAAUACCCCGCUGUUCUGACGGUACCCAAAGAAUAAGCACCGGCUAACUUCGUG
RNAcentral lists this ribosomal RNA (492 nucleotides) under uncultured bacterium. RNAcentral's name for it is "partial 16S ribosomal RNA". It matches the Rfam family "Bacterial small subunit ribosomal RNA", at positions 29 to 507 of the family's 1533-position model. The record is from RNAcentral.